CCCAAAGGAUAAAUGUCCAGGGUGGAUGGGAGCCGGCAGAAAUAUUAGCACCCGAUCGAUGAAGUAUCAUGAAAGCGUUCGGACCACAGCUGCUUCUUUUGCUGGUGCUGCUGGGAUUCAUUGCUGGACAGGAGAUGAGGAUCCCACUGACCAGACGAACCUGUGCCAGUUGGAGAGGUCUCUGCCGCCGCUCCUGCCUGGCUCACGAGAUCCACCUCGGUGUUCACGGCUGCCCACGUCACUAUAGAUGCUGUGUGCUGAGAACCUAGCACAGGCAGGAGGUCUAGGAAAUCCAUCACUCCAACGAAGGGAAGGAUGUUCCAGGUACACACUGACCAGAAGAAGAUUGGCGCCUGUUAUAGACAGCAUUUGCAAUACAAUGCUACCUUGGUUCUCAAACUUAAUCCGUUCUGGAAGUCCGUUCCAAAACCAAAAGCGUUCCAA
Lacerta agilis (Sand lizard) is the source of this 444-nucleotide long non-coding RNA. RefSeq lists it as uncharacterized. The record is from RefSeq and is a predicted model, not a curated record. The transcript is spliced from 3 exons. NCBI's taxonomy places the organism in Eukaryota, Metazoa, Chordata, Lepidosauria, Squamata, Lacertidae.